CCUACGGGCGGCAGCAGUGGGGGAUAUUGCACAAUGGGGGGAACCCUGAUGCAGCGACGCCGCGUGGGUGAAGGAGUGCUUCGGCAUGUAAAGCCCUAUCGGCAGGGAAGAAGCAAGACGGUACCUGACUAAGAAGCCCCGGCUAACUACGUGCCAGCAGCCGCGGUAAUACGUAGGGGGCGAGCGUUAUCCGGAUUCACUGGGUGUAAAGGGAGCGUAGACGGCCAUGCAAGCCAGGGGUGAAAGCCCGGGGCCCAACCCCGGGACUGCCCUGGGAACGGGGCGGUUAGGGGGCGGGAGGGGAAGGCGAAAUUCCGGUGUAGCGGUGAAAUGCGUAGAUAUCAGGAGGAACACCGGCGGCGAAGGCGGCCUGCUGGACCGCGACUGACGUUGAGGCUCGAAAGCGUGGGGAGCGAACAGGAUUAGAUACCCGGGUAGUC
RNAcentral lists this ribosomal RNA (440 nucleotides) under uncultured bacterium. RNAcentral describes it as "partial 16S ribosomal RNA". It matches the Rfam family "Bacterial small subunit ribosomal RNA", at positions 338 to 795 of the family's 1533-position model. The record is from RNAcentral.